CGAACGCUGGCGGCGUGCUUAACACAUGCACGUCGAACGGAAAGGCCCUGCUUUUGUGGGGUGCUCGAGUGGCGAACGGGUGAGUAACACGUGAGUAACCUGCCCUUGACUUUGGGAUAACUUCAGGAAACUGGGGCUAAUACCGGAUAGGAGCUCCUGCUGCAUGGUGGGGGUUGGAAAGUUUCGGCGGUUGGGGAUGGACUCGCGGCUUAUCAGCUUGUUGGUGGGGUAGUGGCUUACCAAGGCUUUGACGGGUAGCCGGCCUGAGAGGGUGACCGGCCACAUUGGGACUGAGAUACGGCCCAGACUCCUACGGGAGGCAGCAGUGGGGAAUAUUGCACAAUGGGCGGAAGCCUGAUGCAGCAACGCCGCGUGCGGGAUGACGGCCCUCGGGUUGUAAACCGCUUUCGCCUGUGACGAAGCGUGAGUGACGGUAAUGGGUAAAGAAGCACCGGCUAACUACGUG
RNAcentral lists this ribosomal RNA (466 nucleotides) under uncultured bacterium. Its description in RNAcentral is "partial 16S ribosomal RNA". It matches the Rfam family "Bacterial small subunit ribosomal RNA", at positions 30 to 507 of the family's 1533-position model. The record is from RNAcentral.